RNAcentral lists this ribosomal RNA (161 nucleotides) under uncultured Mycena. Its description in RNAcentral is "partial 28S ribosomal RNA". It matches the Rfam family "Eukaryotic large subunit ribosomal RNA", at positions 1 to 157 of the family's 3401-position model. Lineage: Eukaryota; Fungi; Basidiomycota; Agaricomycetes; Agaricales; Tricholomataceae. The record is from RNAcentral.
CUUGACCUCAAAUCAGGUAGGACUACCCGCCGAACUUAAGCAUAUCAAUAAGCGGAGGAAAAGAAACUAACAAGGAUUCCCCUAGUAACUGCGAGUGAAGCGGGAAAAGCUCAAAUUUAAAAUCUGGUGGUCUUUGGCCAUCCGAGUUGUAAUUUAGAGAA